GACUUGAUGAAGGUUUCACUGAAUAUAUGGUUUUUUUUUAAUAUUGUGUGAAUUUUUAAUUAAAGUAAAAAUACUUUAAUUAAAUAAGGGGACGAUAAGACCCUAAAAACUUUAGAUGUAUUUUUAGUUGGGGUAAUUAUUGUGGAUUAGUUUUGGUGGUAAAAAACAUAAAUUGUUGUAUAAUGAGCUUAAGUAUAAAAUAAGUAAGAAUAGUUACUUUAGGGAUAACAGCACUAUUAAUUUGAUGAGUUCGUAUCUAAUAAUUAGAUUGUGACCUCGAUGUUGAAUUAGUAGGUCUUUUUAAGGUAGUUUGUAAAAAAGAGGGUUUGUUCAACCUUUAUUUUAUUACAUGAUUU
Molecule: ribosomal RNA, 356 nt
Filed under: Lepechinella sp. BOLD:ADF7736
Lineage: Eukaryota; Metazoa; Arthropoda; Malacostraca; Amphipoda; Lepechinellidae
Description: partial 16S ribosomal RNA
Source: RNAcentral